UACGUAGGGGGCAAGCGUUAUCCGGAAUCACUGGGCGUAAAGGGUGCGUAGGCGGCCAAUAAAGUCAGAGGUGAAAGCCCACGGCUCAACCGUGGUAAGCCUUUGAAACUUAAUGGCUUGAGUGCAGGAGAGGAGAGUGGAAUUCCUAGUGUAGCGGUGAAAUGCGUAGAUAUUAGGAGGAACACCAGUGGCGAAGGCGACUCUCUGGACUGUAACUGACGCUGAGGCACGAAAGCGUGGGUAGCAAACAGGAUUAGAUACCCUGGUAGUCCACGCCGUAAACGAUGAGUGCUAGGUGUUGGGGGUCAAACCUCAGUGCCGCAGUUAACGCAUUAAGCACUCCGCCUGGGGAGUACGUUCGCAAGAAUGAA
This 371-nucleotide ribosomal RNA is filed under the name uncultured bacterium. RNAcentral describes it as "bacterial SSU rRNA". It matches the Rfam family "Bacterial small subunit ribosomal RNA", at positions 524 to 898 of the family's 1533-position model. The record is from RNAcentral.